Long non-coding RNA from Ochotona curzoniae (black-lipped pika), 149 nucleotides. RefSeq lists it as uncharacterized. The record is from RefSeq and is a predicted model, not a curated record. Lineage: Eukaryota; Metazoa; Chordata; Mammalia; Lagomorpha; Ochotonidae. The transcript is spliced from 3 exons.
AUCCCUCUGCCAAUACAUGACUGCAGAUAACUUGUUAAUCUGACCCAUGUCCAUCUUGAGUAAAAUCUGGAAGGAUCGGCUGCCACGGCGUGUAAGUCCAGUGGCUCCUCCAGAGCUGGCUCAGGCAGCGAGCUUCAUCCAGCUGCAGG